ACACUUACCUGGCAGGGGAGAUAUCAUGAUCAUAAAGGUGGUUUUCCCAGGGUAAAGCUCAUCCAUUGCACUCCAGGAGUGCUGACCCCUGCGAUUUCCCCAAGUUCAGGAAACUUGACUUCAUAAUAUGUGGUAGUAGGGGACUGCAUUCAUGCUUUCCCCUG
This is a small nuclear RNA of Nannospalax galili (Upper Galilee mountains blind mole rat), 164 nucleotides long. Its record names the gene U1. It matches the Rfam family "U1 spliceosomal RNA". Rfam says of the family: U1 is a small nuclear RNA (snRNA) component of the spliceosome (involved in pre-mRNA splicing). Its 5' end forms complementary base pairs with the 5' splice junction, thus defining the 5' donor site of an intron. The record is from Ensembl. NCBI's taxonomy places the organism in Eukaryota, Metazoa, Chordata, Mammalia, Rodentia, Spalacidae.